UACAAAAUAGUAUAUAGAGAACAAGAAACUUUGAAUUUCUAGGUGGAAGCCCGUACCUUCCUUUUGUAU
Molecule: transfer RNA, 69 nt
Filed under: Notocrater youngi
Lineage: Eukaryota; Metazoa; Mollusca; Gastropoda; Lepetellida; Pseudococculinidae
Description: tRNA-Gln
Source: RNAcentral